UAGUGGUUUCCUAUCAAGGUUCCAGAA
This 27-nucleotide non-coding RNA is filed under the name Mus musculus (house mouse). Lineage: Eukaryota; Metazoa; Chordata; Mammalia; Rodentia; Muridae. The record is from RNAcentral. RNAcentral also lists the same sequence under 1 other name.